Molecule: ribosomal RNA, 852 nt
Filed under: uncultured bacterium
Lineage: Bacteria
Description: bacterial SSU rRNA
Rfam family: Bacterial small subunit ribosomal RNA
Source: RNAcentral
AGAGUUUCAUUCUGGCUCAGGAUGAACGCCGGCGGUGUGCCUAAUACAUGCAAGUCGUACGCACUGGCCCAACUGAUUGAUGGUGCUUGCACCUGAUUGACGAUGGAUCACCAGUGAGUGGCGGACGGGUGAGUAACACGUAGGUAACCUGCCCCGGAGCGGGGGAUAACAUUUGGAAACAGAUGCUAAUACCGCAUAACAACAAAAGCCACAUGGCUUUUGUUUGAAAGAUGGCCUUGGCUAUCACCCUGGGAUGGACCUGCGGUGCAUUAGCUAGUUGGUAAGGUAACGGCUUACCAAGGCGAUGAUGCAUAGCCGAGUUGAGAGACUGAUCGGCCACAAUGGAACUGAGACACGGUCCAUACUCCUACGGGAGGCAGCAGUAGGGAAUCUUCCACAAUGGGCGCAAGCCUGAUGGAGCAACACCGCGUGAGUGAAGAAGGGUUUCGGCUCGUAAAGCUCUGUUGUUGGAGAAGAACGUGCGUGAGAGUAACUGUUCACGCAGUGACGGUAUCCAACCAGAAAGUCACGGCUAACUACGUGCCAGCAGCCGCGGUAAUACGUAGGUGGCAAGCGUUAUCCGGAUUUAUUGGGCGUAAAGCGAGCGCAGGCGGUUGCUUAGGUCUGAUGUGAAAGCCUUCGGCUUAACCGAAGAAGUGCAUCGGAAACCGGGCGACUUGAGUGCAGAAGAGGACAGUGGAACUCCAUGUGUAGCGGUGGAAUGCGUAGAUAUAUGGAAGAACACCAGUGGCGAAGGCGGCUGUCUGGUCUGCAACUGACGCUGAGGCUCGAAAGCAUGGGUAGCGAACAGGAUUAGAUACCCUGGUAGUCCAUACCGUAAACGAUGAGUGC